ACGGGAGGCAGCAGUGGGGAAUAUUGGACAAUGGGGGAAACCCUGAUCCAGCGACGCCGCGUGAGUGAAGAAGUAUUUCGGUAUGUAAAGCUCUAUCAGCAAGGAAGAAAAUGACGGUACUUGACUAAGAAGCCCCGGCUAACUACGUGCCAGCAGCCGCGGUAAUACGUAGGGGGCAAGCGUUAUCCGGAUUUACUGGGUGUAAAGGGAGCGUAGACGGCAUAGCAAGUCUGAAGUGAAAUGCAUGGGCUCAACCCAUGAACUGCUUUGGAAACUGUUAAGCUAGAGUGCAGGAGAGGUAAGUGGAAUUCCUAGUGUAGCGGUGAAAUGCGUAGAUAUUAGGAGGAACACCAGUGGCGAAGGCGGCUUACCGGACUGUAACUGACGUUGAGGCUCGAAAGCGUGGGGAGCAAACAGGAUUAGAUACCCUGGUA
This 434-nucleotide ribosomal RNA is filed under the name uncultured Lachnospiraceae bacterium. Its description in RNAcentral is "partial 16S ribosomal RNA". It matches the Rfam family "Bacterial small subunit ribosomal RNA", at positions 341 to 792 of the family's 1533-position model. The record is from RNAcentral. Lineage: Bacteria; Bacillati; Bacillota; Clostridia; Lachnospirales; Lachnospiraceae.